CCAUUUUUAAAGCCAGAAAAAUUUUAUAAAACCUUAGAAGAAAUAUUAUGGUUUUCUUUUAUGGAACUCUUAUUAAAACAAUCCAUCUGAUUAUCAUCUAUGCACUAGGCAAAAAUAAAAGCUUAUGGCAUUAUGUGUGACACAGUUCUGAGCUCUCAAUUUUUCCAAUUGUUGUGCCAAAACUAUUUUAAAAUGGCACCUGAGCCUAACAUUGCUUAAUAUGUUCCUUGGACCUUACUUGAUGAAGAAACAGAGACAAGUCAUUUGGCUGAAAAGAUGUGAAAGUGGGCUGAGCAUCCAGACAGUGUGGCUCUGGAGUCCAUGAGCCACAUCCCUCUACAUCGCUGCUAUAAAGGAUAAUUCUCCAGAAAAAAAAUAAAUAUUAUUUGGGACCAGAAGACAACUCAAAGAAAUAUUGUUUCGGCUAUAUCAGACAGUAAAGAUUUUGACUAUGAAAUUUUAUGCUUCUUUGUCUCUGGAUGUUAUCUCAGAAAAGUAAGUUAACAUAUUUUCUACAUAGAAGACACCAAAAAUAGACAUGUAUGGCAGAAUAAUGUGACUGCUGGGGGAGCUAAUCUAGUCCUUCAGAAAAUAGAGAUGAACCGUAUUGUAAAUUUUUGGUUGUAAAAUAUUCCACAUGAUUAUUUUGAUUUCUAGAUUACAAAGUGUUUCGACAAACCAAAAUUUUCCUCUUAAUUUAUAAUCUACUUUGGCUUCAUGAAAUAUUAACAUAUUUCUAAAUAUACCUUUAACCUUAAGAACAUUUAAACCCAAGUCUCUUUAGGGCAAUACUUUUCCAUUUGAAGUGGCUCUAUUAAGUUUAGAUUAAUUGAAUUUGAUUAAAAAGAUCAAGUGGCGACGAAAUUGUAGAAUCUGUAAUUUUAGAUAAUCUUUUAAUAUUAAAAUACUUUCCUUUCAUAUAUUCAUAAUUAAACUCUUAAUUCAUAACUUGCCAUAAUAUCUAAAUAUUUUAUAUAUUAUUCACCCAUCAUCUGAAAUCUGUUAAGUAAUUUCUUAGUAAAGAUAGGUGAUAAAUUGGGUAAUGACUAGGUUUAUUGUUCAGCAUUACAAAACUUGUAAAUGAAUCUAUCUUCAGGAUUAUUUU
Molecule: long non-coding RNA, 1105 nt
Organism: Callithrix jacchus (white-tufted-ear marmoset)
Lineage: Eukaryota; Metazoa; Chordata; Mammalia; Primates; Cebidae
Source: Ensembl